Ipomoea nil (Japanese morning glory) is the source of this 303-nucleotide non-coding RNA. It matches the Rfam family "Plant signal recognition particle RNA". The record is from Rfam. NCBI's taxonomy places the organism in Eukaryota, Viridiplantae, Streptophyta, Magnoliopsida, Solanales, Convolvulaceae.
GCUGGGCUUGGUAGCGUGAGCUUGUAACCCGAGUGGGAGCAUUAAGAUGGUGGAACAGUUGAGCUUGCCCUGAAGGCUGGGCUUAGUAUGCUAUCUUCUGGCCUGCCCAUUCCAAGUAGUGAGUUGAUGGAGGAGUUUCCACGAAGGUGGAGGCUUCUGUGUCCUUAGAACGGAGGGUACUGCGUGAGGCUGGCUUCACAGAGCAGCGAAGACCUCCUCCUCUCUGCAGUGGAAGGAUAAUGGGCUGGUGCAUAUUCAGUCCACUAGUGCCUGAUUGGCUGUCCAAAUUGAACCACCAUCUUU